UACGAAGGGGGCUAGCGUUGCUCGGAAUCACUGGGCGUAAAGGGUGCGUAGGCGGGUCUUUAAGUCAGGGGUGAAAUCCUGGAGCUCAACUCCAGAACUGCCUUUGAUACUGAAGAUCUUGAGUUCGGGAGAGGUGAGUGGAACUGCGAGUGUAGAGGUGAAAUUCGUAGAUAUUCGCAAGAACACCGGAGGCGAAGGCGGCUUGCUGGGCUCGGACUGACGCUGAGGCGCGAAAGCGUGGGGAGCGAACAGG
Molecule: ribosomal RNA, 253 nt
Filed under: uncultured bacterium
Lineage: Bacteria
Description: partial 16S ribosomal RNA
Rfam family: Bacterial small subunit ribosomal RNA
Source: RNAcentral